Molecule: ribosomal RNA, 253 nt
Filed under: uncultured bacterium
Lineage: Bacteria
Description: partial 16S ribosomal RNA
Rfam family: Bacterial small subunit ribosomal RNA
Source: RNAcentral
UACGUAGGGUGCAAGCGUUGUCCGGAAUUAUUGGGCGUAAAGAGCUCGUAGGCGGUUUGUCGCGUCUGCUGUGAAAACCCGAGGCUCAACCUCGGACUUGCAGUGGGUACGGGCAGACUAGAGUGUGGUAGGGGAGACUGGAAUUCCUGGUGUAGCGGUGGAAUGCGCAGAUAUCAGGAGGAACACCGAUGGCGAAGGCAGAUCUCUGGGCCGUAACUGACGCUGAGGAGCGAAAGCAUGGGGAGCGAACAGG